Molecule: ribosomal RNA, 1498 nt
Filed under: Clostridium botulinum CDC_1436
Lineage: Bacteria; Bacillati; Bacillota; Clostridia; Eubacteriales; Clostridiaceae
Description: bacterial SSU rRNA
Rfam family: Bacterial small subunit ribosomal RNA
Source: RNAcentral
GAGUUUGAUCCUGGCUCAGGACGAACGCUGGCGGCGUGCUUAACACAUGCAAGUCGAGCGAUGAAGCUUCCUUCGGGAAGUGGAUUAGCGGCGGACGGGUGAGUAACACGUGGGUAACCUGCCUCAAAGUGGGGGAUAGCCUUCCGAAAGGAAGAUUAAUACCGCAUAAUAUAAGAGAAUCGCAUGAUUUUCUUAUCAAAGAUUUAUUGCUUUGAGAUGGACCCGCGGCGCAUUAGCUAGUUGGUAAGGUAACGGCUUACCAAGGCAACGAUGCGUAGCCGACCUGAGAGGGUGAUCGGCCACAUUGGAACUGAGACACGGUCCAGACUCCUACGGGAGGCAGCAGUGGGGAAUAUUGCGCAAUGGGGGAAACCCUGACGCAGCAACGCCGCGUGGGUGAUGAAGGUCUUCGGAUUGUAAAGCCCUGUUUUCUAGAACGAUAAUGACGGUACUAGAGGAGGAAGCCACGGCUAACUACGUGCCAGCAGCCGCGGUAAUACGUAGGUGGCGAGCGUUGUCCGGAUUUACUGGGCGUAAAGGGUGCGUAGGCGGAUGUUUAAGUGGGAUGUGAAAUCCCCGGGCUUAACCUGGGGGCUGCAUUCCAAACUGGAUAUCUAGAGUGCAGGAGAGGAAAGCGGAAUUCCUAGUGUAGCGGUGAAAUGCGUAGAGAUUAGGAAGAACACCAGUGGCGAAGGCGGCUUUCUGGACUGUAACUGACGCUGAGGCACGAAAGCGUGGGUAGCAAACAGGAUUAGAUACCCUGGUAGUCCACGCCGUAAACGAUGGAUACUAGGUGUAGGGGGUAUCAACUCCCCCUGUGCCGCAGUUAACACAAUAAGUAUCCCGCCUGGGGAGUACGGUCGCAAGAUUAAAACUCAAAGGAAUUGACGGGGGCCCGCACAAGCAGCGGAGCAUGUGGUUUAAUUCGAAGCAACGCGAAGAACCUUACCUGGACUUGACAUCCCUUGCAUAGCCUAGAGAUAGGUGAAGCCCUUCGGGGCAAGGAGACAGGUGGUGCAUGGUUGUCGUCAGCUCGUGUCGUGAGAUGUUAGGUUAAGUCCUGCAACGAGCGCAACCCUUGUUAUUAGUUGCUACCAUUAAGUUGAGCACUCUAAUGAGACUGCCUGGGUAACCAGGAGGAAGGUGGGGAUGACGUCAAAUCAUCAUGCCCCUUAUGUCCAGGGCUACACACGUGCUACAAUGGUAGGUACAAUAAGACGCAAGACCGUGAGGUGGAGCAAAACUUAUAAAACCUAUCUCAGUUCGGAUUGUAGGCUGCAACUCGCCUACAUGAAGCUGGAGUUGCUAGUAAUCGCGAAUCAGAAUGUCGCGGUGAAUACGUUCCCGGGCCUUGUACACACCGCCCGUCACACCAUGAGAGCUGGUAACACCCGAAGUCCGUGAGGUAACCGUAAGGAACCAGCGGCCGAAGGUGGGAUUAGUGAUUGGGGUGAAGUCGUAACAAGGUAGCCGUAGGAGAACCUGCGGCUGGAUCACC